This is a long non-coding RNA of Anser brachyrhynchus (Pink-footed goose), 1710 nucleotides long. The record is from Ensembl. NCBI's taxonomy places the organism in Eukaryota, Metazoa, Chordata, Aves, Anseriformes, Anatidae.
GACACGAAGAGGAGGACACGAGGAAGAGGAGGACACGAGGAAGAGGAGGACACGAGGAGGAGGAGGACACGAGGAGGAGGAGGACACGAGGACGAGGAGGACACGAGGAUGAGGAUGACACUAGGAUGAGGACAUGAAGAGGAGGAGGACACAAGGAAGAGGAGGACACGAGGAUGAGGAGGACACAAGAAAUUGAGGACACGAAGAUGAGGAGGACACAAGGACGAGGAGGACACAAAGAUGACGAGGACAGGAGGAGGAGGAGGACACGAAGAUGACGAGGACACGAGGACGAGGAGGACACGAGGACGAGGAGGACACGAGGACGAGGAGGAUGCAAGAAAACGAGGACAGGGGAAGAUGAGGAGGACACGAGGACGAGGAGGAUGCAAGGGGACGAGGAGGCUGCGGAAGGCGGAGGCUGCAGGAGUUGCAGAGGGCGCUGCGGGAACGAAGAGCGCGGUGCGAGGGAUGCGAAGGGUCUGCGAGGAGCACGAAGCGGAGGACCUGCAAAGAGGACGGUGCAAAGAGCAAGGUGCAAAGGAUUUGCAAAGAGCAAGGUGCAAAGGAUUUGCAAAGAGCAAGGUGCAAAGGAUUUGCAAGGACCAUGAUGCAAAGAGCACGAAGCGAAGGGUUUGGAAAGAGCGCGACGCAAGGACCUUCCUGCAAAGAGGUGCAAGGGAUUUGCGAAGGGGGUGGUGGGAAGACCAAGAAGCAACGACCGAGACGCAAAGGACUUGCAAAGACCAUGAUGGAAAGAGCACGAUGCAAGGGGCAGGAUGCGAGGGGGUGGAAAGGAGUUGCAAAGACCAAGGUGCGAAGACCACGGUGCGAAGACCAAGGCGGAAGAGUUUCCAAAGACCGUGGUGCAAAGAGAAGGAUGCAAAGGAUUUGCAAAGACCAUGAUGCAAAGACCAAGAUGCAAAGAGGACGAAGGAAAGAUUUGCAAAGACCACGAUGCAAAGACCAAGAUGCAAAGAGCAGGAUGCAAGGAGUAGGAUGCAAGGAGAUGGAAAGGAUUUGCAAAGACCAAGAUGCAAAGACCAAGAUGCAAAGACCAUGACACAAAGAUUUGCAAGGACCAUGAUCCAAAGAGGACCAAGCAAAGGAUUUGCAAAGACCACGAUGCAAGGAGAAGGCUGCGAGGAGACGCAAAGGAUUUACAAAGACCAAGACGCAAAGAUUUGCAAAGACCGAGGUGCAAAGACGAAGCUACAGAGGGGACGAAGGAAAGAUUUGCAAAGAACACGAUGCAAAGAGCAAGAUGCAAAGAGCAAGAUGCAAAGAGCAAGAUGCAAAGAGCAAGAGGCAAAGAUUUCCAAAGACCAUGAUCCAAAGAGGAUUACGCAAAGGAUUUGCAAAGGCCACGACGCAAAGAGCACGAAGCAAAGGAUCAGCAGGGCCCGUGAUGCACAGAGCCGCCGCCUGCACCGCCGCGCGCCCCCCGCCCUGCCCAGCCCGGACAAAAGUGAGCUUUUGGUCUGCUUUCCAACAAAAAUCCAUCGUUUUGCUUUAUUUCCGUCGGUUCGCCCCCGGGGAGGGGGCAGGGGGGGGUCACAGGUUUUGCACCGCGGAUACAAGUCUCCGGGGGGGGAGGUUGACAAGUUUUGGGGUUGCAGAAACAGAGUUUUGGGGGAUUUGGGGUACAUUUCGCAUCGAAGGAACAAGGCUUUUUUUUGCACUGCAGAAACAUUUCUGGGGAAUUUUUAA